GGUUUUUGCUAAGCACAAAGCGGUGGAUCAAGGACGGAGCAAACUAUGCUAUUCCUCCCUUGGCAGUGCCGUUGAAGGUGGGCAGAACUGGAAAACGUAGCAAUUAGGGAUUUAUCGCAUUCGCUGAUUCCAUUUUUGCCUGUAAGUUCAAUUUCUGGUUUCUAAUCUUCUCUGCUUAAUCAAUGGUUUUGUUCAUCAUUUUUCUAUUUUAUCUUCAAUAUGUAGCUAUAGAAGAAGGAAAUUUUUAGUGAGAAGUAGUGAAUCUGUGAUAUUUCAUGGCUAGACCUCCAUCAUCUUAUUGUGAUUUUACUUCGCCCUUAUAGCACCGGCCAAACUCUAGUACCCAAAUCAAAAAACUUACUGUUGAAGAAAUUGAAUUUAUUAGUGAAGGAAUCAAGCCAAUUCGGAAUCACGAACUCCCUGAGAGCGUAAACCAACAUUUCAGUGAUAUAGCUAGAGGAGUGGGGAAGAUCACGAGAACAAACUCCAAUGGGAGCAAAUUCUUUUGUUGAAUUUUCCUUCUUUCAAUUUUACUAUCCCCAAUUCUUUCACUAGCUUCUGAAGCACCAAAACAAAUGCGUUUUUCUCACUAAAAUUCUUUCUUGGGCUGCGUUUGCAUUCCAAUUUUACACCUGUUCAAGUUUCCUGCAAUGUGCUUUUUGGUUCGAUUUUGGAGGCUAAAGCUUGCAAUGCAGCAAAAUAUUUCCUUCAAGUUUCGGGUUUUAGUCCCGAGCAGGGUUUUUAGAACGCCAUAUAUGUUGUCUUUGUGAUGGUUGAAUGGUUCAGGAAUCAGGAUUCACUUGAUGUGUUCUUGAAGCUUGGAAUUCAGCUUUGUUGGGUUGUCUAGUUUCGGGAGGACUGAUCUUGUUUGGAAAU
Molecule: unclassified non-coding RNA, 876 nt
Filed under: Hevea brasiliensis (rubber tree)
Lineage: Eukaryota; Viridiplantae; Streptophyta; Magnoliopsida; Malpighiales; Euphorbiaceae
Source: RNAcentral